Molecule: ribosomal RNA, 548 nt
Filed under: uncultured bacterium
Lineage: Bacteria
Description: bacterial SSU rRNA
Rfam family: Bacterial small subunit ribosomal RNA
Source: RNAcentral
AAUAGAUACCCUGGUAGUCCACGCUCGUAAACCGAUGAUUACUGGUUGUUAGCGAUAUAGUAGCUAGUGACUGAGCGAAAGCAUUAAGUAAUCCACCUGGGGAGUACGUCGGCAACGAUGAAACUCAAAGGAAUUGACGGGGGCCCGCACAAGCGGAGGAACAUGUGGUUUAAUUCGAUGAUACGCGAGGAACCUUACCUGGGUUUAAAUGGGGAGUGACAGGUGUCGAAAGAUGCUUUUCCUUCGGGACACUCUUCAAGGUGCUGCAUGGUUGUCGUCAGCUCGUGCCGUGAGGUGUCGGGUUAAGUCCCAUAACGAGCGCAACCCUUGCCGAUAGUUGCCAUCACGUAAAGGUGGGCACUCUAUCGGGACUGCCGGUGUAAACCGUGAGGAAGGUGGGGAUGACGUCAAAUCAGCACGGCCCCUUACAUCCAGGGCUACACACGUGUUACAAUGGCCAGUACAGAGGGCCGCUACCCCGGCGAGGGGGUGCCAAUCUCGAAGCUGGUCUCAGUUCGGAUUGAAGUCUGGAACCCGACUUCAUGAAC